Molecule: ribosomal RNA, 460 nt
Filed under: uncultured bacterium
Lineage: Bacteria
Description: partial 16S ribosomal RNA
Rfam family: Bacterial small subunit ribosomal RNA
Source: RNAcentral
CCUACGGGAGGCAGCAGUGAGGAAUAUUGGUCAAUGGACGAGAGUCUGAACCAGCCAAGUAGCGUGAAGGAUGACUGCCCUAUGGGUUGUAAACUUCUUUUAUAUGGGAAUAAAACGUUCCACGUGUGGGAUUUUGUAUGUACCAUAUGAAUAAGGAUCGGCUAACUCCGUGCCAGCAGCCGCGGUAAUACGGAGGAUCCGAGCGUUAUCCGGAUUUAUUGGGUUUAAAGGGAGCGUAGGUGGAUCGUUAAGUCAGUUGUGAAAGUUUGCGGCUCAACCGUAAAAUUGCAGUUGAAACUGGCAGUCUUGAGUACAGUAGAGGUGGGCGGAAUUCGUGGUGUAGCGGUGAAAUGCUUAGAUAUCACGAAGAACUCCGAUUGCGAAGGCAGUUCACUGGACUGCAAUUGACACUGAGGCUCGAAAGUGUGGGUAUCAAACAGGAUUAGAUACCCGGGUAGUC